CAGCGAGUAGUUUAACUAAGAAUAUUAGCUUUGGGAGUUAAUGGUGGGAGUUAAAAUCUCCUCUCUCUGA
RNAcentral lists this transfer RNA (70 nucleotides) under Ipnops sp. auip01. Its description in RNAcentral is "tRNA-Pro". It matches the Rfam family "tRNA". From Rfam's summary of the family: Transfer RNA (tRNA) molecules are approximately 80 nucleotides in length. Their secondary structure includes four short double-helical elements and three loops (D, anti-codon, and T loops). Further hydrogen bonds mediate the characteristic L-shaped molecular structure. tRNAs have two regions of fundamental functional importance: the anti-codon, which is responsible for specific mRNA codon recognition, and the 3' end, to which the tRNAs corresponding amino acid is attached (by aminoacyl-tRNA synthetases). tRNAs cope with the degeneracy of the genetic code in two manners: having more than one tRNA (with a specific anti-codon) for a particular amino acid; and 'wobble' base-pairing, i.e. permitting non-standard base-pairing at the 3rd anti-codon position. Lineage: Eukaryota; Metazoa; Chordata; Actinopteri; Aulopiformes; Ipnopidae. The record is from RNAcentral.